UACGUAGGAGGCGAGCGUUGUCCGGAUUCACUGGGCGUAAAGGGCGCGUAGGCGGCGGCUUGAGUCCCUGCGUGAAAUCUCCCGGCUCAACCGGGAGGGUGCGCGGGAUACUGGGCGGCUUGAGGACAUCAGAGGAGAGCGGAAUCCCCGGUGUAGUGGUGAAAUGCGUAGAUAUCGGGGGGAACACCAGUGGCGAAGGCGGCUCUCUGGGGUGCACCUGACGCUGAGGCGCGAAAGCGUGGGGAGCGAACCGG
This 254-nucleotide ribosomal RNA is filed under the name uncultured bacterium. Its description in RNAcentral is "partial 16S ribosomal RNA". It matches the Rfam family "Bacterial small subunit ribosomal RNA", at positions 524 to 776 of the family's 1533-position model. The record is from RNAcentral.